UACGUAGGGACCGAGCGUUAUCCGGAUUCAUUGGGCGUAAAGAGCUCGUAGGCGGCUAUUCAAGUCGAACGUGAAAUCUCGGGGCUCAACUCCGAGCCUGCGUUCGAUACUGGGUAGCUAGAGUCUGGUAGGGGGAUCUGGAAUUCCUGGUGUAGCGGUGGAAUGCGCAGAUAUCAGGAGGAACACCGGUGGCGAAGGCGGGAUCCUGGGCCAGUACUGACGCUGAGGAGCGAAAGCGUGGGGAGCAAACAGG
RNAcentral lists this ribosomal RNA (253 nucleotides) under uncultured bacterium. RNAcentral's name for it is "partial 16S ribosomal RNA". It matches the Rfam family "Bacterial small subunit ribosomal RNA", at positions 524 to 776 of the family's 1533-position model. The record is from RNAcentral.